GCUCUACCAUCUGAGCUACAUCCCCAUCGUUGUU
This 34-nucleotide small RNA is filed under the name Arabidopsis thaliana (thale cress). RNAcentral's name for it is "ATSL239740". The record is from RNAcentral. Lineage: Eukaryota; Viridiplantae; Streptophyta; Magnoliopsida; Brassicales; Brassicaceae.